This 1123-nucleotide long non-coding RNA is filed under the name Mus spicilegus (steppe mouse). RNAcentral describes it as "lncRNA (ENSMSIG00000000355.1)". The record is from RNAcentral. Lineage: Eukaryota; Metazoa; Chordata; Mammalia; Rodentia; Muridae.
CCACUUUAGUACAGCAGCCUGCUCAGUCUCUAUGGGGGCACUGUUUCCACAGGGGUCUCCUGGUUCAUUCUCACAGCCUCCUGUGAAGUGAGCCCAGAGACCUACCUGCCGCUGCAGCCCUAGUGCCAGACGCAGAGUCUGGCCCGUGGUGAGUGCCCCAGCAUUAAUAGCAGUUACCAUAACACCUCACAUCACUUUCUAUUACCAACCUCAGAUUCUGAGUAAUCUCACCUUUCGGAUCCACCCUGUGAGAGCACAACCAUCAAAUGAGGAAGUGGGAAGAGAGAAUGAGAUGCAAGGAUGAUAGAGACAACAGCCCUACCCUUGUGGCUGUGGAAGCUGAAGGUCUUAAUUAUGGGAAAUAGAGCUUCCUAACCAGGCCACUUCUCCUGGGCAUCUGCCGAGCACGACAUGGCUAGAGAGGGUCACACCAGGAUGACCUGGGGCCUGUGUGGCCAGGCUUUCCUGUUUGCUCUGACAUUCUCCCUUGUCCUGCAUUUCUAAAGACCCCCUGUGAGGCCUCUAGCCACUAAGAUCUCUGGAUAUUAGCCACAGGCUUCUCUUCUUUUCUCCUUAAAUAUAAUUCCAGAAUCUUCUUUGUCCCUAUUCCAAAUUCUAUUGCCAAAUCUAGAAUCUGGGAGAACAGCACUUAACCCAAGGGCAUCUUUGCUUAAACAGAGUGACUUUCCCAUGGCAGUGAGCAGAAAUUUCUGCGUGUCUGUCCAUUCUCCUGUUUUCUCCAUGGAUACAAGGUGUAACUGACCACAGCAGCUCACAGUGCUAACCACUGAGCAACAGCAUUUGAUGAGCUGAGUUGUGUGGCUAGCUUGCUACCACCAGGCCCCAAGUCCUGAGCCCCAAAGGAAAGGGGAAAGAUAACAUUUCGACAGACAGAAGAACACAGCGGAAGUUAACAAGUGCCUCUUCCAGCACAGUAUCUCCCUCUGAAGCCUCCCACCCCUUCAGAGGACAACUGUGCAGAAGCCCACAGUGGGCCUCUGUAACAGCCAGCCCCAGUGCCCAGGUAAACCAAGCACCAGGCUGAGCAGGCAUGGGCACCUGCUUGUCAUGUCUUAUUUACCAUGAGCAGUGAAACAAGGGCUCUUGCCAUUCCUACCUGUUG